This is an unclassified non-coding RNA of Erinaceus europaeus (western European hedgehog), 296 nucleotides long. Its record names the gene 7SK. It matches the Rfam family "7SK RNA". From Rfam's summary of the family: 7SK was discovered as an abundant small nuclear RNA in the mid-70s but a possible function has only recently been suggested. Two independent studies have found that 7SK RNA binds the CDK9/cyclin T complex (known as elongation factor P-TEFb). P-TEFb activates transcription by phosphorylating the C-terminal domain of RNA polymerase II. The record is from Ensembl. NCBI's taxonomy places the organism in Eukaryota, Metazoa, Chordata, Mammalia, Eulipotyphla, Erinaceidae.
GGAUCUGAGGGUGAUCUGGAUGCGACAUCUGUCACCCCGUUGAACACCAGGGUUAAUUUGGCUGAUCUGGCUGGCUAGGUGGGUGUCCCCUACCUCCCUCACUUCUCCAUGUGUGUCCCUCCUGAAGCUGCAUGCUCAGCCAAAGAGGAUGACCUUUGGUCUUUGGUUGAGGGUAUCCGAGGACCUGCACUCCCCUGCUAGAACCUCCAAACAAGUUCUCAAAGAGACCUUCAUGCUUGAGGCUCUGAGGUCCCAGGUUCAAUCCCCAGCACCACUAUCAGCCAGAGCUGAGCAGU